RNAcentral lists this long non-coding RNA (465 nucleotides) under Homo sapiens (human). Its description in RNAcentral is "HSALNT0367847". Lineage: Eukaryota; Metazoa; Chordata; Mammalia; Primates; Hominidae. The record is from RNAcentral.
GACCGUGCAUUGAUAGCCCAUGUGCAUCUAACUCCCAGCUCAGUGCACUGCACAGAAUCAGUGCUCAGUAAAUGUUUGUUGAACAAAUUGAAUCAACAUUUAUAUUAACCACUUGCAAUGCAGCAAGGUACAGUUUCUCACUUCAAGAAACUCAGUUCUAAACAGAAGGAGAAGGACAAGUAUGUAAAAAAUGAAACAAUGUAGAACAUGAAUGAGGAGUAAAGAAGAUUCCUUGGAAAAGAACUCUGGGAGCCAAGUCUUAAAGAAUGAGUGAGAAUUAUUGCCUGCUCCUCCAAGCCCUUCACUGUAGAAUGGAAGCCUGUGAUUUUCCUGGCAUCAUGCAUGACUGAGAAGGUCAGUGUGGCUAAUUCUGAGCUUCAACAUCAGGAAACCCGUAGUUCUUCACACUGAGCCGCCUCCUGCAGCACAGUCAUCCUUGGUAAUAAAGCUGAUAUUUUAAUCAAU